This 468-nucleotide ribosomal RNA is filed under the name uncultured bacterium. RNAcentral's name for it is "partial 16S ribosomal RNA". It matches the Rfam family "Bacterial small subunit ribosomal RNA", at positions 28 to 507 of the family's 1533-position model. The record is from RNAcentral.
GACGAACGCUGGCGGCGUGCUUAACACAUGCAAGUCGAACGGAAAGGCCCUGCUUUUGUGGGGUGCUCGAGUGGCGAACGGGUGAGUAACACGUGAGUAACCUGCCCUUGACUUUGGGAUAACUUCAGGAAACUGGAGCUAAUACCGGAUAGGAGCUCCUGCUGCAUGGUGGGGGUUGGAAAGUUUCGGCGGUUGGGGAUGGACUCGCGGCUUAUCAGCUUGUUGGUGGGGGAGUGGCUUACCAAGGCUUUGACGGGUAGCCGGCCUGAGAGGGUGACCGGCCACAUUGGGACUGAGAUACGGCCCAGACUCCUACGGGAGGCAGCAGUGGGGAAUAUUGCACAAUGGGCGGAAGCCUGAUGCAGCAACGCCGCGUGCGGGAUGACGGCCUUCGGGUUGUAAACCGCUUUCGCCUGUGACGAAGCGUGAGUGACGGUAAUGGGUAAAGAAGCACCGGCUAACUACGUG